RNAcentral lists this ribosomal RNA (480 nucleotides) under Triticum aestivum (bread wheat). RNAcentral describes it as "partial small subunit ribosomal RNA". Lineage: Eukaryota; Viridiplantae; Streptophyta; Magnoliopsida; Poales; Poaceae. The record is from RNAcentral.
AUGAUUCGACCUGAUGGGAUCAACAUCCCCGACGGCAAGUUCUACCUUGGAGAUGCUGGCUAUGCAUGUCGGCCGGGUAUUCUUUCACCCUUCAGGAAAACCAGGUACCAUCUCAAUGAGUUCUCUGGUAGGAACUAUCCUAGGACUGCACAGGAGCUGUAUAAUCUCAGACACUCCAGCCUUAGAGUAACUGUUGAGAGGGCAUUUGGAGCUCUGAAGAAUAGGUUUAAGAUCCUGGAUCAUAAGCCAUUCCACCCAUACCCCACUCAGGUUAAGCUUGUUCUUGCUUGUUGCAUUCUGCAUAACUGGAUCCUCCAGUGGGGCUUUGAUGAACAAGUGCCUAAGGAGGAAGAGGUCGAGCUUGAUGAUGUUGUUAGCCCCGGCCAUGGUGUGGAGGCAUUUGACAAUGACGCUUGGAAGAACAAAAGGUUGGAGUGGGCAGAGGCAAUGUGGCUUAACAGAGGUCGGUGCAGGAUUUAA